GGAUAACCUGCCCUAUCGUCUGGAAUAACCUCGGGAAACUGAGAAUAAGGCCGGAUAGUUCACAAAGCCUGGAACGGUUUGUGAAUCAAGGUAGGAUGGGUCUGCGGCGUAUCAGGUAGUAGGGGGUGUAAAGGACCCCCUAGCCUUCGACGCGUACGGGUGUUGGGAGACAUAGCCCGGAGAUGGAUUCUGAGACACGAAUCCAGACCCUACGGGGUGCAGCAGGCGCGAAAACUUCACACUGCAGGAAACUGUGAUGAGGGAACUCCAAGUGUGUGCACUAUGUGUACACUUUUAUGAACUUUUAAUCGGUUCAGGAAUAAGGGCUGGGAAAGACCGGUGCCAGCCGCCGCGGUAAUACCGGCAGCUCAAGUGGUCGUCGCUUUUAUUGGGCCUAAAACGUCCGUAGCCUGUUUGGUAAAUCUGUGGGUAAAUCAACUCGCUCAACGAGUUGAAUUCUGCAGAGACUGCCAGACUAGGGACCGGGAGAGGUGUGGGGUACUCGAGGGGUAGGGGUAAAAUCCUGUCAUCCUUCGAGGACCACCAGUUGCGAAGGCGCCACACUGGAACGGAUCCGACGGUCAGGGACGAAGCCUAGGGGCACGAACCGGAUUAGAUACCCGGGUAGUCCUAGGUGUAAACGCUGUGAACUUGGUGUCGGGGGUCCGCAAGGGGUCCCCGGUGCCGGAGUGAAGAUGUUAAGUUCACUGCCUGGGGAGUACGGCCGCAAGGCUGAAACUU
RNAcentral lists this ribosomal RNA (741 nucleotides) under uncultured Candidatus Poseidoniales archaeon. RNAcentral's name for it is "bacterial SSU rRNA". It matches the Rfam family "Archaeal small subunit ribosomal RNA", at positions 102 to 857 of the family's 1478-position model. The record is from RNAcentral. Lineage: Archaea; Methanobacteriati; Thermoplasmatota; Candidatus Poseidoniia; Candidatus Poseidoniales.